CACUCCUACGGGAGGCAGCAGUGGGGAAUAUUGGACAAUGGGCGCAAGCCUGAUCCAGCCAUGCCGCGUGAGUGAUGAAGGCCCUAGGGUUGUAAAGCUCUUUCACCGGUGAAGAUAAUGACGGUAACCGGAGAAGAAGCCCCGGCUAACUUCGUGCCAGCAGCCGCGGUAAUACGAAGGGGGCUAGCGUUGUUCGGAUUUACUGGGCGUAAAGCGCACGUAGGCGGACUAUUAAGUCAGGGGUGAAAUCCCGGGGCUCAACCCCGGAACUGCCUUUGAUACUGGUAGUCUUGAGUUCGAGAGAGGUGAGUGGAAUUCCGAGUGUAGAGGUGAAAUUCGUAGAUAUUCGGAGGAACACCAGUGGCGAAGGCGGCUCACUGGCUCGAUACUGACGCUGAGGUGCGAAAGCGUGGGGAGCAAACAGGAUUAGAAACCCCAGUAGUCCCAUG
This 449-nucleotide ribosomal RNA is filed under the name uncultured organism. Its description in RNAcentral is "partial 16S ribosomal RNA". It matches the Rfam family "Bacterial small subunit ribosomal RNA", at positions 334 to 799 of the family's 1533-position model. The record is from RNAcentral.